GGCGCGGUGGCGGAGUGGCUACGCAGCGGAUUGCAAAUCCGUCUAGACCGGUUCGAUUCCGGUCCGCGCCUCCA
This 74-nucleotide transfer RNA is filed under the name hydrothermal vent metagenome. RNAcentral describes it as "tRNA-Cys-GCA". It matches the Rfam family "tRNA". From Rfam's summary of the family: Transfer RNA (tRNA) molecules are approximately 80 nucleotides in length. The record is from RNAcentral.